RNAcentral lists this ribosomal RNA (231 nucleotides) under uncultured bacterium. Its description in RNAcentral is "partial 16S ribosomal RNA". It matches the Rfam family "Bacterial small subunit ribosomal RNA", at positions 1261 to 1500 of the family's 1533-position model. The record is from RNAcentral.
UGGGAUGCGAAUCUCGAAAGCCUGUCUCAGUUCGGAUUGGAGGCUGAAACCCGCCUCCAUGAAGUUGGAUUCGCUAGUAAUCGCGCAUCAGCCAUGGCGCGGUGAAUACGUUCCCGGGCCUUGUACACACCGCCCGUCAAGCUAUGGGAGCCGGGGGUGCCUGAAGUUCGUGACCGCAAGGAGCGACCUAGGGCAAAACUGGUGACUGGGGCUAAGUCGUAACAAGGUAUC